CAAGUCGAGGGGCAGCAUUAUCAGCUUGCUGAUAGAUGGCGACCGGCGCACGGGUGCGUAACGCGUAUGCAACCUGCCCCAUACAUUGGGAUAGCCCGGAGAAAUCCGGAUUAAUACCGAAUAACAUUAGGGUACCGCAUGGUAUCCUGAUUAAAACUUUGGUGGUAUGGGAUGGGCAUGCGUGGCAUUAGGUAGUUGGUGGGGCAACGGCCCACCAAGCCUACGAUGCCUAGGGGUUCUGAGAGGAAGGUCCCCCACACUGGUACUGAGACACGGACCAGACUCCUACGGGAGGCAGCAGUGAGGAAUAUUGGGCAAUGGGCGGAAGCCUGACCCAGCCAUGUCGCGUGCAGGAAGACGGUCCUAUGGAUUGUAAACUGCUUUUAUACGGGAAGAAACCCCUGCUCGUGAGCGGGCUGCCGGUACCGUAUGAAUAAGCAUCGGCUAACUCCGUGCCAGCAGCCGCGGUAAUACGGAGGAUGCGAGCGUUAUCCGGAUUCAUUGGGUUUAAAGGGUGCGUAGGCGGGACUGUAAGUCAGGGGUGAAAGUUUGCCGCUCAACGGUAAAAUAGCCUUUGAUACUGCAGUUCUUGAGUUGGCACGAGGUAUGCGGAAUGAGUAGUGUAGCGGUGAAAUGCAUAGAUAUUACUCAGAACACCGAUUGCGAAGGCAGCAUACUAGGGCCACACUGACGCUGAUGCACGAAAGCGUGGGUAGCGAACAGGAUUAGAUACCCUGGUAGUCCACGCCGUAAACGAUGGUCACUAGCUGUAUGCGAUAUACUGUAUGUGGCAAAGCGAAAGCAUUAAGUGACCCACCUGGGGAGUACGUUGGCAACGAUGAAACUCAAAGGAAUUGACGGGGGCCCGCACAAGCGGUGGAACAUGUGGUUUAAUUCGAUGAUACGCGAGGAACCUUACCCGGGCUUAAAUGCAGGCUGCAUGGGGCAGAGAUGCCCCUUUCUUCGGACUGCUUGCAAGGUGCUGCAUGGUUGUCGUCAGCUCGUGCCGUGAG
RNAcentral lists this ribosomal RNA (1013 nucleotides) under uncultured bacterium. RNAcentral describes it as "bacterial SSU rRNA". It matches the Rfam family "Bacterial small subunit ribosomal RNA", at positions 58 to 1071 of the family's 1533-position model. The record is from RNAcentral.